GUCGAGAAUCAUUCGCAAUGGGCGAAAGCCUGACGAUGCGACGCCGUGUGAGCGAAGAAGGCCUUAGGGUCGUAAAGCUCUUUCGCUUGGGAAUAAGACAAACUGGCUAAUAUCCAGUGAGUUUGAACGUACCAGGUAAAGAAGCACCGGCUAACUCCGUGCCAGCAGCUGCGGUAAUACGGAGGGUGCAAGCAUUAAUCGGAUUUAUUGGGCGUAAAGGGCGCGUAGGCGGGGAUGUAAGUCAGACGUGAAAUCCCGGGGCUCAACCUCGGAACAGCAUUUGAAACUACAUCUCUCGAGGGUAGGCGGAGAAAACGGAAUUCCACAAGUAGCGGUGAAAUGCGUAGAUAUGUGGAAGAACACCGGUGGCGAAGGCGGUUUUCUAGCUUAUUCCUGACGCUAAAGCGCGAAAGCAAGGGGAUCAAACAGGAUUAGAAACCCUGGUAGUCC
Molecule: ribosomal RNA, 450 nt
Filed under: uncultured bacterium
Lineage: Bacteria
Description: partial 16S ribosomal RNA
Rfam family: Bacterial small subunit ribosomal RNA
Source: RNAcentral